UACGUAGGUGGCAAGCGUUGUCCGGAUUUAUUGGGCUUAAAGGGUGCGUAGGCGGCUUUGUAAGUCAGUGGUGAAAUAUGGCAGCUCAACUGUCAGGGUGCCAUUGAUACUGCAGAGCUUGAGUACAGAUGAGGUAGGCGGAAUUGACGGUGUAGCGGUGAAAUGCUUAGAUAUCGUCAAGAACACCGAUAGCGAAGGCAGCUUACUGGGCUGUAACUGACGCUGAGGCACGAAAGUGAGGGGAUCAAACAGG
This 253-nucleotide ribosomal RNA is filed under the name uncultured bacterium. Its description in RNAcentral is "partial 16S ribosomal RNA". It matches the Rfam family "Bacterial small subunit ribosomal RNA", at positions 524 to 776 of the family's 1533-position model. The record is from RNAcentral.